Molecule: ribosomal RNA, 978 nt
Filed under: human gut metagenome
Description: bacterial LSU rRNA
Rfam family: Bacterial large subunit ribosomal RNA
Source: RNAcentral
CCUAAGGUAGCGAAAUUCCUUGUCGGGUAAGUUCCGACCUGCACGAAUGGCGUAACGACUUCCCCACUGUCUCGACCAGGAGCUCGGCGAAAUUGCAGUACGAGUAAAGAUGCUCGUUAAGCGCAGAAGGACGAAAAGACCCCGGGACCUUUACUAUACCUUGGUAUUGGCGUUAGGCGCGGAUUGUGUAGCAUAGGCGGGAGGCUUCGAAGCGUGGGCGCCAGCUCAUGUGGAGCCGCAAGGUGAAAUACCGCUCUGUUCUCGUUUGACGUCUAACCUCGACAAGUCAUCCUUGUCAGGGACAGUGCCUGGCGGGUAGUUCAACUGGGGCGGUUGCCUCCCAAAGAGUAACGGAGGCGCUCAAAGGUCCGCUCAGCCCGGUUGGCAAUCGGGUGUCGAGUGUAAUCGCACAAGCGGGCUUGACUGCGAGGACGACGGUCCGAGCAGGGACGAAAGUCGGAGAUAGUGAUCCGGUGCCGGCGCACGGGCGCGGCAUCGCUCAACGGAUAAAAGGUACCCCGGGGAUAACAGGCUGAUCAUUCCCAAGAGUCCAUAUCGACGGGAUGGUUUGGCACCUCGAUGUCGGCUCGUCGCAUCCUGGGGCUGGAGCAGGUCCCAAGGGUUCGGCUGUUCGCCGAUUAAAGCGGCACGCGAGCUGGGUUCAGAACGUCGUGAGACAGUUUGGUCUCUAUCCUCUGCGCUCGUUGGAAUGCUGAGGAGGCCUGCCCAUAGUACGAGAGGACCUGGGUGGACGAACCUCUGGUAUGCCGGUUGUCGCGCCAGCGGCACGGCCGGUUGGCUACGUUCGGGAGGGAUAACCGCUGAAAGCAUCUAAGCGGGAAGCCUGCUCCAAGAUUAGGAUUCCAUGGAUCUUCGAGAUCCUGUAGCCCGCAUGUUGAACACGUGUUUGAUAGGCCGGAGGUGGAAGUCCCGUGAGGGGUGGAGCCGACCGGUACUAACGGGCGACGGCGACACAAC